RNAcentral lists this ribosomal RNA (478 nucleotides) under uncultured Rubrobacter sp. Its description in RNAcentral is "bacterial SSU rRNA". It matches the Rfam family "Bacterial small subunit ribosomal RNA", at positions 877 to 1357 of the family's 1533-position model. Lineage: Bacteria; Bacillati; Actinomycetota; Rubrobacteria; Rubrobacterales; Rubrobacteraceae. The record is from RNAcentral.
GGAGUACGGCCGCAAGGCUUAUACUCAAAAGAAUUGACGGGGGCCCGCACAAGCAGCGGAGCAUGUUCUNUAAUUCGAUGCAACGCGAAGAACCUUACCUGGGCUUGACAUGGUGCUGCAAGCGCACGGAAACGUGUGACCUUCGAGGGUGCACCACAGAUGCUGCAUGGCUGUCGUCAGCUCGUGUCGUGAGAUGUUGGGUUAAGUCCCGCAACGAGCGCAACCCCCGUGGUGUGUUGCCAGCAUUGAGUUGGGGACUCACACCAGACUGCCGGUGACAAACCGGAGGAAGGUGGGGAUGACGUCAAGUCAUCAUGGCUCUUACGCCCAGGGCUAGAAACGUGCUACAAUGGCGCAUACAAUGGGUUGCAAGACCGCGAGGUGGAGCGAAUCUCAUCAAAGUGCGUCUAAGUUCGGAUCGCAGUCUGCAACUCGACUGCGUGAAGGCGGAGUUGCUAGUAAUCGCGGAUCAGCAUGC